RNAcentral lists this long non-coding RNA (218 nucleotides) under Gossypium raimondii (Peruvian cotton). Its description in RNAcentral is "long non-coding RNA (GRAI_LNC000667)". The record is from RNAcentral. Lineage: Eukaryota; Viridiplantae; Streptophyta; Magnoliopsida; Malvales; Malvaceae.
AGAAAAGUACCCUAUGAAGUUUAGUGUCAUGACAUCGGUCCUGUGGUGUAGCGACAUCACUACGAUGGAGACCAAAUUCUUAUGAAGGGUGUUUUUGUCUACACAAUGUGUUUUAUUCAGCCUAAUGCCCUGUAUUUUGACAUAAUUGGGGCAGAAACAAUUGCUUAUAAACAAUAAUGUUUAGGUUAAGCUAAAGAGGAUGUUUUUUUAUAAUAGAC